Molecule: ribosomal RNA, 235 nt
Filed under: uncultured bacterium
Lineage: Bacteria
Description: partial 16S ribosomal RNA
Rfam family: Bacterial small subunit ribosomal RNA
Source: RNAcentral
UGGCGGACGGGUGAGUAAUGUCUGGGAAACUGCCCGAUGGAGGGGGAUAACUACUGGAAACGGUAGCUAAUACCGCAUAACGUCGCAAGACCAAAGAGGGGGACCUUAGGGCCUCUUGCCAUCGGAUGUGCCCAGAUGGGAUUAGCUAGUAGGUGGGGUAACGGCUCACCUAGGCGACGAUCCCUAGCUGGUCUGAGAGGAUGACCAGCCACACUGGGACUGAGACACGGCCCAG